CCUACGGGAGGCAGCAGUGGGGGAUAUUGCACAAUGGGGGAAACCCUGAUGCAGCGACGCCGCGUGGGUGAAGAAGUAUUUCGGUAUGUAAAGCCCUAUCAGCAGGGAAGAAAGAAGACGGUACCUGACUAAGAAGCCCCGGCUAACUACGUGCCAGCAGCCGCGGUAAUACGUAGGGGGCGAGCGUUAUCCGGAUUCACUGGGUGUAAAGGGAGCGUAGACGGCCGUGCAAGCCAGGAGUGAAAGCCCGGGGCCCAACCCCGGGACUGCUCGUGGAACUGUGCGGCUGGAGUGCGGGAGGGGCAGGCGGAAUUCCUGGUGUAGCGGUGAAAUGCGUAGAGAUCAGGAGGAACACCGGCGGCGAAGGCGGCCUGCUGGACCGCGACUGACGUUGAGGCUCGAAAGCGUGGGGAGCGAACAGGAUUAGAUACCCUUGUAGUC
This 441-nucleotide ribosomal RNA is filed under the name uncultured bacterium. RNAcentral describes it as "partial 16S ribosomal RNA". It matches the Rfam family "Bacterial small subunit ribosomal RNA", at positions 338 to 795 of the family's 1533-position model. The record is from RNAcentral.